GAGUUUGAUUCUGGCUCAGGACGAACGCUGGCGGCGUGCUUAACACAUGCAAGUCGAACGAAAUUAAAAAAUUAUCAUUGAGCUCUCCGAUGAGAUGGGAGCCAAGCGUCGUGACCGCGGAGCGGGCACCACGCGUUCAACAAGUGCAACACCAAGUCGAAGGGUUGAAUGGUAAUUUUUUAAUUUAGUGGCAAACGGGUGAGUAACACGUAGACAACCUGCCGACAGGAUGGGGACAACAUUCCGAAAGGAAUGCUAAUACCGAAUGAAGUCAGAGGAGGGCAUCCUCUUCUGAUGAAAGAUGGCCUCUUUUUAUGCUAUCACCUGUUGAUGGGUCUGCGUCUGAUUAGCUAGUUGGUGAGGUAACGGCUCACCAAGGCGACGAUCAGUAGCCGGUCUGAGAGGAUGAACGGCCACAUUGGGACUGAGACACGGCCCAGACUCCUACGGGAGGCAGCAGUGGGGAAUCUUCCGCAAUGGGCGCAAGCCUGACGGAGCAACGCCGCGUGAGUGAAGAAGGUCUUCGGAUCGUAAAGCUCUGUUGACGGGGACGAACGUGCGGAGUGCGAAUAGCGCUUGCA
This 581-nucleotide ribosomal RNA is filed under the name Selenomonas sp. oral taxon H64. Its description in RNAcentral is "bacterial SSU rRNA". It matches the Rfam family "Bacterial small subunit ribosomal RNA", at positions 9 to 472 of the family's 1533-position model. Lineage: Bacteria; Bacillati; Bacillota; Negativicutes; Selenomonadales; Selenomonadaceae. The record is from RNAcentral.